This 465-nucleotide ribosomal RNA is filed under the name uncultured bacterium. Its description in RNAcentral is "partial 16S ribosomal RNA". It matches the Rfam family "Bacterial small subunit ribosomal RNA", at positions 28 to 507 of the family's 1533-position model. The record is from RNAcentral.
GAUGAACGCUGGCGGCGUGCUUAACACAUGCAAGUCGAACGGAAAGGCUCCUGCUUGCAGGGGUCCUCGAGUUGCGAACGGGUGAUUAACACUUGGUUGAUCUUCCCUGCACUUCGGGAUAAUCCUGGUUAACUGGGUCUAAUACCUGAUAGGACGAUGGUUUUUAUGCCAUUGUGGACAGUUUUUCGGUGUGGGAUGAGCUCGCUGCCUAUCAUCUUGUUGUUGGGGUAAUGGCCUACCAAGGCGUCGACGGGUAGCCGGCCUGAGAGGGCGUACGGUCAAAUUGGGACUGAGAUACGGCACAGACUAGUAAGGGAGGCAGCAGAGGGGAAUAUUGAACAAUGGAGGCAAGCCGGAUGCAGCGACGCCGCGUGAGGGAUGACGGACUUCGGGUUGUAAACUCCUUUCGUCAGGAACGAAGCGAAAGUGACGGUACCUGGAUAAGAAGCACCGGCUAACUACGUG